Molecule: ribosomal RNA, 208 nt
Filed under: uncultured bacterium
Lineage: Bacteria
Description: partial 16S ribosomal RNA
Rfam family: Bacterial small subunit ribosomal RNA
Source: RNAcentral
UCGGAUUGUAGUCUGCAACCCGGCUACAUGAAGCUGGAAUCGCUAGUAAUCGCGGAUCAGAAUGCCGCGGUGAAUACGUUCCCGGGUCUUGUACACACCGCCCGUCACACCAUGGGAGUCGGAAAUGCCCGAAGUCUGUGACCCAACCUCAGGGAGGGAGCAGCCGAAGGCAGGUCGGAUGACUGGGGUGAAGUCGUAACAAGGUACC